AAAUGAAUAGACGGGCACCCGCACAAGCGGUGGAGCAUGCUGUUUAAUUCGAAGAUACGCGAAGAACCUUACCUAGGCUUGACAUCCCCGGCGAAGCUAUAGAAAUAUAGUGGAGGUUACCCGGGUGACAGGUGGUGCAUGGUUGUCGUCAGCUCGUGUCGUGAGAUGUUCGGUUAAGUCCGAUAACGAGCGCAACCCUCGUCACUAGUUACUAACAUUAAGUUGAGGACUUUAGUGAGACUGCCGGUGAUAAACCGGAGGAAGGUGGGGAUGACGUCAAAUCAUCAUGCCCCUUAUGUCUAGGGCUACAGGCGUGCUACAAUGGCCAUUACAAUGAGAUGCGAUAUCGUAAGAUGGAGCAAAUCUUUAAAGAUGGUCCCAGUUCGGAUUGGAGUCUGCAACUCGACUCCAUGAAGUUGGAAUCGCUAGUAAUCCUAAAUCAGAAUGUUAGGGUGAAUACGUUCCCGGGUGUUGUACACACCGCCCGU
Molecule: ribosomal RNA, 488 nt
Filed under: uncultured bacterium
Lineage: Bacteria
Description: bacterial SSU rRNA
Rfam family: Bacterial small subunit ribosomal RNA
Source: RNAcentral